This 513-nucleotide ribosomal RNA is filed under the name uncultured Alphaproteobacteria bacterium. RNAcentral's name for it is "bacterial SSU rRNA". It matches the Rfam family "Bacterial small subunit ribosomal RNA", at positions 76 to 628 of the family's 1533-position model. Lineage: Bacteria; Pseudomonadati; Pseudomonadota; Alphaproteobacteria. The record is from RNAcentral.
CGAUCCUUCGGGAUAGUGGCGGACGGGUGAGUAACACGUGGGAACGUGCCUUUUGGUUCGGAAUAACACAGGGAAACUUGUGCUAAUACCGGAUGAGCCCUACGGGGGAAAGAUUUAUCGCCGAAAGAGCGGCCCGCGUUAGAUUAGCUAGUUGGUGGGGUAAAGGCCCACCAAGGCUCCGAUCUAUAGCUGGUCUGAGAGGAUGAUCAGCCACACUGGGACUGAGACACGGCCCAGACUCCUACGGGAGGCAGCAGUGGGGAAUCUUGCGCAAUGGGCGAAAGCCUGACGCAGCCAUGCCGCGUGAAUGAUGAAGGUCUUAGGAUUGUAAAAUUCUUUUACCAGGGACGAUAAUGACGGUACCUGGAGAAAAAGCCCCGGCUAACUUCGUGCCAGCAGCCGUGGUAAUACGAAGGGGGCUAGCGUUGCCCGGAAUUACUGGGCGUAAAGGGAGCGUAGGCGGGUUAUCAAGUUGGAGGUGAAAGCCCAGGGCUCAACCUUGGAAUUGCCUUC